GAACUGCGAUAAGUAAUGUGAAUUGCAGAAUUCAGUGAAUCAUCGAGUCUUUGAACGCACAUUGCGCCCCCUGGCAUUCCGGGGGGCAUGCCUGUCCGAGCGUCAUUGCUGCCCUUCAAGCCCGGCUUGUGUGUUGGGUCGUCGUCCCCUCCGGGGGGCGGGCCCGAAAGGCAGCGGCGGCACCGCGUCCGGUCCUCGAGCGUAUGGGGCUUUGUCACCCGCUCGAUAAGGACCGGCCGGGCGCCAGCCGGCGUCUCCAACCUUUUUUUCUCAGGUUGACCUCGGAUCAGGUAGGGAUACCCGCUGAACUUAAGC
This 315-nucleotide unclassified non-coding RNA is filed under the name plant metagenome. Its description in RNAcentral is "partial contains 5.8S ribosomal RNA, internal transcribed spacer 2, and large subunit ribosomal RNA". The stretch from base 1 to 105 matches the Rfam family "5.8S ribosomal RNA", at positions 50 to 154 of the family's 154-position model. The record is from RNAcentral.